GCUGUCUAUGGGGUCGCACAGAGUCAGACACGACUGAAGUGACUUAGCAGCAGCAGCAGCAGCAGUGGAAAGAGUGACAAGAAUUCCUCGCAGCUCAGUUAUCAGUGGACAAAUAGAUGAUCUUGGAAACCGGCAAUCUGCAUCUCCUCCUGAAGAUAUCAGCUAGAUAAUGAAGAAAUACAUUCCAGGGUUCAGAGGAACAUUAAUGAUUAGCCUGAUGAAGGACAGUGUGAAGCCCAAGACAUUUGAAAGCUUCUAAACUGGUGAUGACUUCCUGGAACUGGACAACAACAUUCUACUGUCAAUGCAGUAGUGGCCCCAGAAAGAAUGGGAGAACUUGCCCCCAAGAUUAAUUCUUUCUGUGGAGGGGAGUAUGUGUGUGUGGGUCCCUGAGUGGGGGUGGGAUGGAUGGGAGAGAACAAUAGAGGAAAAAAGAAGCAUAGUUUCCACACAGAGUAGAGCCUUUGGAGCUGUUGAAUAGUCCAAUCCAUUUUCAUGUGGAGAUUUUACUAAAGGCAUUUUAUUAUGAUUACCAGUAAAGAUUUAGUCAUAUUAUUU
Long non-coding RNA from Bos taurus (domestic cattle), 558 nucleotides. Lineage: Eukaryota; Metazoa; Chordata; Mammalia; Artiodactyla; Bovidae. The record is from Ensembl.